RNAcentral lists this ribosomal RNA (253 nucleotides) under uncultured bacterium. Its description in RNAcentral is "partial 16S ribosomal RNA". It matches the Rfam family "Bacterial small subunit ribosomal RNA", at positions 524 to 776 of the family's 1533-position model. The record is from RNAcentral.
GACAGAGGGUGCAAACGUUGUUCGGAAUUACUGGGCGUAAAGCGCGUGUAGGCGGCUAGGUAAGUCAGGCGUGAAAUCCCACGGCUCAACCGUGGAAGUGCACCUGAUACUGCAUAGCUAGAGUCCUGGAGAGGAAGGUGGAAUGCUUGGUGUAGAGGUGAAAUUCGUAGAUAUCGGAAGGAACAUCAGUGGCGAAAGCGACUUCCUGGACCAAUACUGACGCUCAUGUGCGAAAGCGUGGGGAGCAAACAGG